RNAcentral lists this ribosomal RNA (253 nucleotides) under uncultured bacterium. Its description in RNAcentral is "partial 16S ribosomal RNA". It matches the Rfam family "Bacterial small subunit ribosomal RNA", at positions 524 to 776 of the family's 1533-position model. The record is from RNAcentral.
UACGUAGGGUGCGAGCGUUAAUCGGAAUUACUGGGCGUAAAGGGUGCGCAGGCGGUUCUGCAAGUCAGGCGUGAAAGCCCCGGGCUCAACCUGGGAAUUGCGCUUGAUACUGCGGCGCUGGAAGGUGGGAGAGGAUGGCGGAAUUCCCAGUGUAGAGGUGAAAUUCGUAGAUAUUGGGAAGAACACCGGUGGCGAAGGCGGCCAUCUGGCCCAUUUUUGACGCUGAGGCGCGAAAGCGUGGGGAGCAAACAGG